Molecule: transfer RNA, 73 nt
Filed under: Anneissia japonica
Lineage: Eukaryota; Metazoa; Echinodermata; Crinoidea; Comatulida; Comatulidae
Description: tRNA-Val
Source: RNAcentral
GAUUCCGUAGUGUAGCGGUUAUCACAUCUUCCUAACACGCAGAAGGUCCCCUGUUCGAGGCCGGGUGGAAUCA